RNAcentral lists this ribosomal RNA (899 nucleotides) under Geastrum quadrifidum. RNAcentral's name for it is "eukaryotic LSU rRNA". It matches the Rfam family "Eukaryotic large subunit ribosomal RNA", at positions 63 to 940 of the family's 3401-position model. Lineage: Eukaryota; Fungi; Basidiomycota; Agaricomycetes; Geastrales; Geastraceae. The record is from RNAcentral.
AACUAACAAGGAUUCCCCUAGUAACGGCGAGUGAAGAGGGAUAAGCUCAAAUUUGAAAUCUGGCAGUCUAAGGCUGUCCGAGUUGUAAUCUAGAGAAGUGUUUUCCGUGCUGGACCGUGUACAAGUCCUUUGGAACAAGGCGUCAUAGAGGGUGAGAAUCCCGUCUACGACACGGACUGCCAGUGCUUUGUGAUACACUCUCAACGAGUCGAGUUGUUUGGGAAUGCAGCUCAAACUGGGUGGUAAAUUCCAUCUAAAGCUAAAUACAGGCGAAAGACCGAUAGCGAACAAGUACCGUGAGGGAAAGAUGAAAAGCACUUUGGAAAGAGAGUUAAACAGUACGUGAAAUUGUUGAAAGGGAAACGCUUGAAGUCAGUCGCGUCUUCAGAAAUUCAGCCUGGCUUGUUUGCCUGGUGUAUUUUUCUGUUGGGACGGGCCAGCAUCAGUUUUGGUCGUCAGAAAAAGGUGAGAGGAAGGUGGCACCUCCGGGUGUGUUAUAGCCUCUCAUCGUAUGUGGCGGUUGGGACUGAGGACUGCAGCACGCCUUUAAUGGCCGGGGUUCGCCCACGUAACGUGCUUAGGAUGCUGGCGUAAUGGCUUUAAGCGACCCGUCUUGAAACACGGACCAAGGAGUCUAACAUGCCUGCGAGUAUUUGGGUGGUAAACCCAUGUGCGGAAUGAAAGUGAAUAGGUUGGGACUUCUGUCAUGGAAGGCACCGACGCCCGGACCAGACCUAUUGUGACGGAUCCGAGGUAGAGCAUGUAUGUUGGGACCCGAAAGAUGGUGAACUAUGCCUGAGUAGGGUGAAGCCAGAGGAAACUCUGGUGGAGGCUCGUAGCGAUUCUGACGUGCAAAUCGAUCGUCGAACUUGGGUAUAGGGGCGAAAGACUAAUCGAAC